This 459-nucleotide ribosomal RNA is filed under the name uncultured bacterium. RNAcentral describes it as "partial 16S ribosomal RNA". It matches the Rfam family "Bacterial small subunit ribosomal RNA", at positions 338 to 795 of the family's 1533-position model. The record is from RNAcentral.
CCUACGGGUGGCAGCAGUGAGGAAUAUUGGUCAAUGGGCGGGAGCCUGAACCAGCCAAGCCGCGUGAGGGAAGAAGGUACAGCGUAUUGUAAACUUCUUUUGUCAGGGAACAAAGGCAGGGACUAGUCCCUGGCUGAGGGUACCUGAAGAAAAAGCAUCGGCUAACUCCGUGCCAGCAGCCGCGGUAAUACGGAGGAUGCGAGCGUUAUCCGGAUUUAUUGGGUUUAAAGGGUGCGUAGGCGGCCUGUUAAGUCAGCGGUAAAAGCCCGGGGCUCAACCCCGGAGAGCCGUUGAAACUGGCGGGCUGGAGUUGGCGAGAGGUACGCGGAAUGCGCGGUGUAGCGGUGAAAUGCUUAGAGAUCGCGCAGAACCCCGAUUGCGAAGGCAGCGUACCGGCUCCACACUGACGCUGAGGCACGAAAGCGUGGGUAUCGAACAGGAUUAGAUACCCGAGUAGUC